CCCCUCUCAGGAUUGCAUAUGGAGAGUUUGCAGUACUCUAUCGGUCUCGACUACGGGAGGGAGAGUCAAGCAGAGGCCUGCCCAUUCCAUUCCUGGCUUGGCCAGUGGCUAGUGAGUGGAAGGCAAUCUGCUCCAAGU
This is a small nucleolar RNA of Tachyglossus aculeatus (Australian echidna), 138 nucleotides long. The record is from RefSeq and is a predicted model, not a curated record. NCBI's taxonomy places the organism in Eukaryota, Metazoa, Chordata, Mammalia, Monotremata, Tachyglossidae.